Molecule: ribosomal RNA, 483 nt
Filed under: uncultured bacterium
Lineage: Bacteria
Description: bacterial SSU rRNA
Rfam family: Bacterial small subunit ribosomal RNA
Source: RNAcentral
GACGACGCUGGCGGCGUGGAUUAGGCAUGCAAGUCGAACGGUAUCAUCCUUCGGGGUGAGAGAGUGGCGAACUGGUGAGUAACACGUAGGUUAUCUACCCUCAAGACGGGGACAACCCGGGAAACUUGGGCUAAUACCGGAUGUGAGCAACUUUUAGUUGUUUGAAAGGUGGCGUAAGCUGUCGCUUGGGGAUGAGCCUGCGUCCUAUUAGUUAGUUGGUGAGGUAACGGCUCACCUAGGCAAUGAUAGGUGGGCGGCCUUAACGGGUGGUCGCCCACACUGGGAUUGAGAUACGGCCCAGACUCCUACGGGAGGCAGCAGUCGAGAAUAGUCUACAAUGGUCGGAAGACUGAUAGUGCGACGCCGCGUGAACGAUGAAUCCCUUCGGGGUGUAAAGUUCUUUUAUAUGUGAGCAGUGCUUCUUAUAUUAACAGUAUGGGGAGAGAGAUAUUAGCAUAUGAAUAAGCAACGGCUAACUCCGUG